AUUCGCCAUGCACCAGGAUUGGAGGUUACUGACGAUGACUUGAAAGUCUGGCUAUCUGAUCUGAAAGGAUUUUAUUUUCUGACCCAGCAUUCUGCAAAGGCAACCCUCUUGCAAAAGAGGCAAUAGACCAGUUGCAGCAGCUGGAGAAUGAUGAACUUAUCAUAGAGCGCUCAGAGGUUGUGGCGGCCAUUACGGAUUCGGUAGAUUACCUGAGAAGACUAACUACGUCAAAUCUAGAAACCGAGGAUCGAAUUAAUGAUCUGGAAAUGAAGAUGAAAGAAAUUCUUAAACAAGAUGUAAUUUCCGGGAUGGAUAGCUUUAAAUCAGAAUUAACAGACAACCUUAUAAAGUACAACCGCGAACACCACUGUACGCUCAAGAUUGGUCCCUUCAUUGAAUGUGGAAAUGACGGACUUGAAGACUUCUAUGUUCCUCCAAACAUUAG
Long non-coding RNA from Mya arenaria, 445 nucleotides. RefSeq lists it as uncharacterized. Lineage: Eukaryota; Metazoa; Mollusca; Bivalvia; Myida; Myidae. The transcript has 3 exons. The record is from RefSeq and is a predicted model, not a curated record.